Molecule: unclassified non-coding RNA, 175 nt
Filed under: soil metagenome
Description: partial internal transcribed spacer 1
Source: RNAcentral
CAGAGUUUCGUGCCCUCACGGGUAGAUCUCCCACCCUUGUGUAUUCUCUACAUCUUGUUUGCUUUGGCAGGCCGUUGGUUCGCCAACCACCGGCCUCGCGGGCUGGUGCGUGCCUGCCAGAGGACCUCUCAAACUCGGUUUGUCAGUGUCGUCUGAGUACCAUAACAAUCGUUAA